GUCUAUGGCCAUGCUACCCUGAACAAGUUCCAUCCUGUCUGAUCUCGGAAGCUAAGCAGGGUCAGGGCCUGGUUAGUACUUGGAUGGGAGACCACCUAGGAAGACCAGGUGCUGUAGGCA
This 120-nucleotide ribosomal RNA is filed under the name Pteropus alecto (black flying fox). Lineage: Eukaryota; Metazoa; Chordata; Mammalia; Chiroptera; Pteropodidae. The record is from RNAcentral.